This 507-nucleotide ribosomal RNA is filed under the name uncultured Glomeraceae. Its description in RNAcentral is "SSU rRNA". It matches the Rfam family "Eukaryotic small subunit ribosomal RNA", at positions 569 to 1082 of the family's 1831-position model. Lineage: Eukaryota; Fungi; Glomeromycota; Glomeromycetes; Glomerales; Glomeraceae. The record is from RNAcentral.
AGCAGCCGCGGUAAUUCCAGCUCCAAUAGCGUAUAUUAAAGUUGUUGCAGUUAAAAAGCUCGUAGUUGAAUUUCGGGAUCAAUAUGUUGGUCGUGCCUUGGUACGUACUGGCAUUAUUGGUUUCUACCUUCUGAAGAACCUCGAUGUCAUUAAUUUGGUGUCUUGGGGAAUCAGGACUGUUACUUUGAAAAAUUAGAGUGUUUAAAGCAGGCUCGCGCUUGAAUACAUUAGCAUGGAAUAAUGAAAUAGGACGUUUGAUUCUAUUUUGUUGGUUUCUAGGAUCGACGUAAUGAUUAAUAGGGAUAGUUGGGGGCAUUAGUAUUCAAUUGUCAGAGGUGAAAUUCUUGGAUUUAUUGAAGACUAACUACUACGAAAGCAUUUGCCAAGGAUGUUUUCAUUAAUCAAGAACGAAAGUUAGGGGAUCGAAGACGAUCAGAUACCGUCGUAGUCUUAACCAUAAACUAUGCCGACUAGGGAUCGGAUGAUGUUAAUUUUUUAAUGUACUCA